AGGUAAGCUACUAAGAGCGAAUGGUGGAUGCCUUGACUGGUAAAGGCGAUGAAGGACGUACUAGACUGCGAUAAGCUACGGGGAGCUGUCAAGAAGCUUUGAUCCGUAGAUUUCCGAAUGGGGCAACCCAAUGUAUAGAGAUAUACAUUACCUAUAUAGGAGCGAACGAGGGGAAUUGAAACAUCUUAGUACCCUCAGGAAAAGAAAUCAAUAGAGAUUGCGUCAGUAGCGGCGAGCGAAAGCGCAAGAGGGCAAACCCAGUGCUUGCACUGGGGGUUGUAGGACUGCAAUGUGCAAGAGGUAAGUUUAGCAGAACAUUCUGGAAAGUAUAACCAUAGAGGGUGAUAGUCCCGUAUGCGAAAAACAAACCUUAGCUAGCAGUAUCCUGAGUAGGGCGGGACACGAGGAAUCCUGUCUGAAUCCGGGUCGACCACGAUCCAACCCUAAAUACUAAUACCAGAUCGAUAGUGCACAAGUACCGUGAGGGAAAGGUGAAAAGAACUGAGGUGAUCAGAGUGAAAUAGAACCUGAAACCAUUUGCUUACAAUCAUUCAGAGCCCUAUGUAGCAAUACAGGGUGAUGGACUGCCUUUUGCAUAAUGAGCCUGCGAGUUGUGGUGUCUGGCAAGGUUAAGCAAACGCGAAGCCGUAGCGAAAGCGAGUCUGAAUAGGGCGCUUAGUCAGAUGCUGCAGACCCGAAACGAAGUGAUCUAUCCAUGAGCAAGUUGAAGCUAGUGUAAGAACUAGUGGAGGACUGAACCCAUAGGCGUUGAAAAGCCCCGGGAUGACUUGUGGAUAGGGGUGAAAGGCCAAUCAAACUUCGUGAUAGCUGGUUCUCUCCGAAAUAUAUUUAGGUAUAGCGUUGUGUCGUAAUAUAAGGGGGUAGAGCACUGAAUGGGCUAGGGCAUACACCAAUGUACCAAACCCUAUCAAACUCCGAAUACCUUAUAUGUAAUCACAGCAGUCAGGCGGCGAGUGAUAAAAUCCGUCGUCAAGAGGGAAACAACCCAGACUACCAGCUAAGGUCCCUAAAUCUUACUUAAGUGGAAAACGAUGUGAAGUUACUUAAACAACCAGGAGGUUGGCUUAGAAGCAGCCAUCCUUUAAAGAAAGCGUAAUAGCUCACUGGUCUAGUGAUUUUGCGCGGAAAAUAUAACGGGGCUAAAGUAAGUACCGAAGCUGUAGACUUAGUUUACUAAGUGGUAGGAGAGCGUUCUAUUUGCGUCGAAGGUAUACCGGUAAGGAGUGCUGGAGCGAAUAGAAGUGAGCAUGCAGGCAUGAGUAGCGAUAAUUAAUGUGAGAAUCAUUAACGCCGUAAACCCAAGGUUUCCUACGCGAUGCUCGUCAUCGUAGGGUUAGUCGGGUCCUAAGUCGAGUCCGAAAGGGGUAGACGAUGGCAAAUUGGUUAAUAUUCCAAUACCAACAUUAGUGUGCGAUGGAAGGACGCUUAGGGCUAAGGGGGCUAGCGGAUGGAAGUGCUAGUCUAAGGUCGUAGGAGGUUAUACAGGCAAAUCCGUAUAACAAUACUCCGAGAACUGAAAGGCUUUUUGAAGUCUUCGGAUGGAUAGAAGAACCCCUGAUGCCGUCGAGCCAAGAAAAGUUUCUAAGUUUAGCUAAUGUUGCCCGUACCGUAAACCGACACAGGUGGGUGGGAUGAGUAUUCUAAGGCGCGUGGAAGAACUCUCUUUAAGGAACUCUGCAAAAUAGCACCGUAUCUUCGGUAUAAGGUGUGGUUAGCUUUGUAUUAGGAUUUACUCCGAAAGCAAGGAAACUUACAACAAAGAGUCCCUCCCGACUGUUUACCAAAAACACAGCACUCUGCUAACUCGUAAGAGGAUGUAUAGGGUGUGACGCCUGCCCGGUGCUCGAAGGUUAAUUGAUGGGGUUAGCAUUAGCGAAGCUCUUGAUCGAAGCCCGAGUAAACGGCGGCCGUAACUAUAACGGUCCUAAGGUAGCGAAAUUCCUUGUCGGUUAAAUACCGACCUGCAUGAAUGGCGUAACGAGAUGGGAGCUGUCUCAAAGAGGGAUCCAGUGAAAUUGUAGUGGAGGUGAAAAUUCCUCCUACCCGCGGCAAGACGGAAAGACCCCGUGGACCUUUACUACAGCUUGACACUGCUACUUGGAUAAGAAUGUGCAGGAUAGGUGGGAGGCUUUGAGUAUAUGACGCCAGUUGUAUAUGAGCCAUUGUUGAGAUACCACUCUUUCUUAUUUGGGUAGCUAACCAGCUUGAGUUAUCCUCAAGUGGGACAAUGUCUGGUGGGUAGUUUGACUGGGGCGGUCGCCUCCCAAAUAAUAACGGAGG
Molecule: ribosomal RNA, 2301 nt
Filed under: Campylobacter jejuni
Lineage: Bacteria; Pseudomonadati; Campylobacterota; Epsilonproteobacteria; Campylobacterales; Campylobacteraceae
Description: partial 23S ribosomal RNA
Rfam family: Bacterial large subunit ribosomal RNA
Source: RNAcentral